RNAcentral lists this non-coding RNA (21 nucleotides) under Arabidopsis thaliana (thale cress). Lineage: Eukaryota; Viridiplantae; Streptophyta; Magnoliopsida; Brassicales; Brassicaceae. The record is from RNAcentral.
UGUGGCAUUGUUCUGGGCUGC